Molecule: ribosomal RNA, 1172 nt
Filed under: uncultured bacterium
Lineage: Bacteria
Description: bacterial SSU rRNA
Rfam family: Bacterial small subunit ribosomal RNA
Source: RNAcentral
AGACCAAAGGAGCAAUCCGCUGUAAGAUGGACUCGCGUCCAAUUAGAUAGUUGGUGGGGUAACGGCCCACCAAGUCGACGAUUGGUAGCCGGACUGAGAGGAUGUCCGGCCACACUGGAACUGAGACACGGUCCAGACACCUACGGGUGGCAGCAGUCGAGAAUCAUUCACAAUGGGGGAAACCCUGAUGGUGCGACGCCGCGUGGGGGAGGAAGGUCUUCGGAUUGUAAACCCCUGUCAUGUGGGAGCAAGGCGCAAGCUUGAUAGUACCACAAGAGGAAGAGACGGCAAACUCUGUGCCAGCAGCCGCGGUAAUACAGAGGUCUCAAGCGUUGUUCGGAAUCACUGGGCGUAAAGGGUACGUAGGCGGCUUGAUAAUUCGCGCGUGAAAGGCAGGGGCUCAACCUCUGAGUGCGCAUGAUACGUUGAGCUGGAGUAAGGGAGGGGAACCGGAAUCUUGGUGUAGCAGUGAAAUGCGUAGAUAUCAGAAGAAAGACUCGUGCGAAGGGCGGGUUCCUGGACAUUAACUGACGCUGAGGUACGAAGGCCAGGGUAGCGAAAGGGAUUAGAUACCCCUGUAGUCCUGGCAGUAAACGGUGCACGCUUGGUGUGCGGGGAAUCGACCCCCUGCGUGCCGGAGCAAACGCGUUAAGCGUGCCGCCUGGGGAGUACGGUCGCAAGAUUAAAACUCAAAGAAAUUGACGGGGACCCGCACAAGCGGUGGAGUAUGUGGCUUAAUUCGAUGCAACGCGAAGAACCUUACCAAGGCUUGACAUCCCGUGACAGACUAUGAAAGUAGUUUUUCUAUUCGUAGACACGGAGACAGGUGCUGCAUGGCCGUCGUCAGCUCGUGUCGUGAGAUGUUUGGUUAAGUCCAGCAACGAGCGCAACCCCUGCUGCCAGUUACCAGCGAGUAAAGUCGGGGACUCUGGCGGGACUGCCCAGAUCAACUGGGAGGAAGGUGGGGACGACGUCAGGUCAGUAUGGCCCUUAUGCCUUGGGCUGCACACGUACUACAAUGCCCAGUACAGAGGGAAGCAAGCGAGCGAUCGCAAGCGGAUCCCGAAAAGUGGGCCCAGUUCGGAUUGGAGGCUGCAACUCGCCUCCAUGAAGCCGGAAUCGCUAGUAAUGGCGCAUCAGCUACGGCGCCGUGAAUACGUUCCCGGGUCUUG